This 1987-nucleotide ribosomal RNA is filed under the name metagenomes. RNAcentral's name for it is "bacterial LSU rRNA". It matches the Rfam family "Bacterial large subunit ribosomal RNA", at positions 3 to 1977 of the family's 2925-position model. The record is from RNAcentral.
UUAAGCUAAUAAGAGCACACGGAGGAUGCCUAGGCGCCAGGAGCCGACGAAGGACGUGGCGAACAACGAAACUGCCUCGGGGAGCUGUAAGCAAGCUUUGAUCCGGGGGUGUCCGAAUGGGGAAACCCAGCUGUGGUAAUUCGCAGUUACUCAUACCUGAAUACAUAGGGUAUGUAGAGGCAGACCAGGGGAACUGAAACAUCUAAGUACCCUGAGGAAGAGAAAACAAUAGUGAUUCCGUCAGUAGCGGCGAGCGAACGCGGAACAGCCUAAACCAAGGGGCUUGCCCCUUGGGGUUGUGGGACGUCUCACAUGGAGUUACAAAGGAAUAUGGUAGGUGAAGAGGUCUGGAAAGGCCCGCGAUAGAGGUAAAAGCCCUGUAACCUAAACUGUAUUCUCUCCGAGACGGAUCCCGAGUAGUGCGGGGCACGUGAAACCCCGUAUGAAUCCAGCAGGACCAUCUGCUAAGGCUAAAUACUACCUGGCGACCGAUAGUGAAACAGUACCGUGAGGGAAAGGUGAAAAGCACCCCGGAAGGGGAGUGAAAUAGAACCUGAAACCGUGUGCUUACAAAAAGUCAGAGCCCUAUUACUGGGUGAUGGCGUGCCUUUUGUAGAAUGAACCGGCGAGUUACGUUUAACAUGCAAGGUUAAGGUGAGAAGCCGGAGCCGCAGCGAAAGCGAGUCUGAAUAGGGCGAUUAAGUAUGUGGACGUAGACCCGAAACCGUGUGAUCUACCCCUGUCCAGGGUGAAGGUGCGGUAACACGCACUGGAGGCCCGAACCCACGCAUGUUGAAAAAUGCGGGGAUGAGGUGGGGGUAGCGGAGAAAUUCCAAUCGAACUCGGAGAUAGCUGGUUCUCCCCGAAAUAGCUUUAGGGCUAGCCUCGGUGAAUGGAGUGGUGGAGGUAGAGCACUGAUUGGGUGCGGGGCCCGCAAGGGUUACCAAGCUCAGUCAAACUCCGAAUGCCAUUAACUUCUUGCCGGGAGUCAGACAGUGAGUGCUAAGAUCCAUUGUCAAAAGGGAAACAGCCCAGACCAUCAGCUAAGGUCCCCAAGUGUGUGUUAAGUGGGAAAGGAUGUGGAGUUGCACAGACAACCAGGAUGUUGGCUUAGAAGCAGCCACCAUUGAAAGAGUGCGUAAUAGCUCACUGGUCGAGUGACUCUGCGCCGAAAAUGUAACGGGGCUAAACACACCACCGAAGCUAUGGCUAGAUACGUAUGUAUCUGGGGUAGGGGAGCGUUGUAUGUGGGUUGAAGGUGUACCGUAAGGAGCGCUGGACAGCAUACAAGUGAGAAUGCCGGUAUGAGUAACGAAAAGAUCAGUGAGAAUCUGAUCCGCCGAAAGCCCAAGGUUUCCUGAGGAAGGCUCGUCCGCUCAGGGUAAGUCGGGACCUAAGGCGAGGCCGAAAGGCGUAGUCGAAGGACAACAGUUUGAAAUUACUGUACCACCGUAAUCCGCUACGAGCGAUGGGGUGACGCAGGAGGGUAGUGACGCGGACUGAUGGAUGUCCGUCUAAGCAGUGAGGCUGGUGUGUAGGCAAAUCCGCACAUCGUAAGGCUGGGCUGUGAUGGGGAGCGAAAAUUAUAGUAGCGAAGGUCAUGAUCUCACACUGCCAAGAAAAGCCUCUAGCCAGGAGAAGGUGCCCGUACCGCAAACCGACACAGGUAGGCGAGAAGAGAAUUCUAAGGCGCGCGGAAGAACUCUCGUUAAGGAACUCGGCAAAAUGACCUCGUAACUUCGGGAGAAGAGGUGCCUCGGUAGGGUGAAUAGCCCGAGGGGGCCGCAGUGAAAAGGCCCAAGCGACUGUUUAGCAAAAACACAGGUCUGUGCGAAGCCGCAAGGCGAAGUAUACGGGCUGACGCCUGCCCGGUGCUGGAAGGUUAAGGGGAGCGGUUAGGGGUUAAACCCGAAGCUGUGAACCGAAGCCCCAGUAAACGGCGGCCGUAACUAUAACGGUCCUAAGGUAGCGAAAUUCCUUGUCGGGU